RNAcentral lists this long non-coding RNA (244 nucleotides) under Hordeum vulgare. RNAcentral's name for it is "long non-coding RNA (HVUL_LNC011630)". Lineage: Eukaryota; Viridiplantae; Streptophyta; Magnoliopsida; Poales; Poaceae. The record is from RNAcentral.
CUCAAACCACCACACCUCCAAUGACUACUGAAGAAAAGGAGGGUGAUGUGGAAAUUGGAUGCAUCACACCUGUGAUCCAUGAUGAGUUCUGGGAAGCGACUCAUCCAAACUCACCAAGAACAACUCAAUUUCCUAGAACUCCAGAUGCCACUGAGAUUCUCACUAGCUGUGAUGAAAAGAGCAUUCGUGAGGAAUGAGCACAAGAAUCAGCUACAUCAGCUGAAGAAAAUGCAGCAUCAAAAAA